Molecule: non-coding RNA, 80 nt
Filed under: uncultured Intestinimonas sp.
Lineage: Bacteria; Bacillati; Bacillota; Clostridia; Eubacteriales
Description: Cyclic di-GMP-I riboswitch
Rfam family: c-di-GMP-I riboswitch aptamer
About the family: GEMM was predicted in a large-scale screen for bacterial structured RNA regulatory elements. Genes associated with GEMM are involved in a diverse array of functions, including chemotaxis regulation, signal transduction, secretion and chitin.
Source: RNAcentral
GAAAGGGCAAACCGGGUGAAAGCCCGGGACGCAAAGCCAGGGGCUAAAGCGGGAGACCGCUAUGCCAGUCCGGCCGCCGC